Molecule: long non-coding RNA, 465 nt
Filed under: Gossypium raimondii (Peruvian cotton)
Lineage: Eukaryota; Viridiplantae; Streptophyta; Magnoliopsida; Malvales; Malvaceae
Description: long non-coding RNA (GRAI_LNC005278)
Source: RNAcentral
UGAGAAACCCUUCUCUAGCUAUGGGGGAGAAACAGAUUCAAAGACAUUGGUGGGUCGUGCUUGUGAAUGCAGAAGAAUUAGAUGAGUUCUCGAACAACUGCGGACAUCUCCUUCAAGCCAUUGGUACUGCAGACGGUUCCAUAGUUUUCAGUAGUCCAAAGUUGCAGUUCCAAAAUACCCGUAGUAAGAGUUAAUAUUGGGAGGAUUGGCGACCGACUUUCGUGUUUCUAAAAUUGCUGUUCCCUCCAUUGAUAGUAUUUAUGUUGUCUUGUUUGUGUUCUUUGAUGUUCCUGUUUGUAAAUGGCGGAGGCCUGUCUGUUUGUUUGUAAGCAGCUGUAUCAUUGUGUUGGUAAAACGGCUGUGAACCUAUCGUGUUCUUUUUUGUUCAAUGAGCUUAUAUACUUAAUUUACGUGAAAAGGGCGGAUUCAGUUUAUGUUUUUGUACCAUAAUAAUAAUAAUAAUAA